UAGGAGACUGCCGGUGACAAACCGGAGGAAGGUGGGGAUGACGUCAAGUCAUCAUGGCCCUUACGGCCUGGGCUACACACGUGCUACAAUGGUCGGUACAAAGGGUUGCCAAGCCGCGAGGUGGAGCUAAUCCCAUAAAACCGAUCGUAGUCCGGAUCGCAGUCCGCAACUCGACUGCGUGAAGUCGGAAUCGCUAGUAAUCGUGAAUCAGAAUGUCACGGUGAAUACGUUCCCGGGCCUU
RNAcentral lists this ribosomal RNA (241 nucleotides) under uncultured Pseudomonas sp. RNAcentral describes it as "partial 16S ribosomal RNA". It matches the Rfam family "Bacterial small subunit ribosomal RNA", at positions 1142 to 1382 of the family's 1533-position model. Lineage: Bacteria; Pseudomonadati; Pseudomonadota; Gammaproteobacteria; Pseudomonadales; Pseudomonadaceae. The record is from RNAcentral.